Molecule: ribosomal RNA, 403 nt
Filed under: Verrucomicrobiota bacterium
Lineage: Bacteria; Pseudomonadati; Verrucomicrobiota
Description: Verrucomicrobia bacterium partial 16S ribosomal RNA
Rfam family: Bacterial small subunit ribosomal RNA
Source: RNAcentral
UGGGGAAUAUUGCACAAUGGGCGCAAGCCUGAUGCAGCAACGCCGCGUGAACGAUGAAGGUCUUCGGAUCGUAAAGUUCUGUUGCAGGGGAAGAUAAUGACGGUACCCUGUGAGGAAGCUCCGGCUAACUACGUGCCAGCAGCCGCGGUAAUACGUAGGGGGCUAGCGUUAUGCGGAUUUACUGGGCGUAAAGGGUGCGUAGGUGGUCUUUCAAGUCGGUGGUUAAAGGCUACGGCUCAACCGUAGUUAGCCUCCGAAACUGGAAGACUUGAGUGCAGGAGAGGAAAGUGGAAUUCCCAGUGUAGCGGUGAAAUGCGUAGAUAUUGGGAGGAACACCAGUAGCGAAGGCGGCUUUCUGGACUGCAACUGACACUGAGGCACGAAAGCGUGGGUAGCAAACAGG